AUGUUAGCUUAUAAACACGUCACACGUUAUAUCGUCUUGCCGUGGUGCUCUGCAUGCUGCAGCCGCAUAUACGUUACCGCAUACCGCUACUCACACACUAGCACCACCGCUUCACACUCAUCAUACAUAAUGUAUUCAAUAUCAUAAUGAUCCUUCCGCAGGUUCACCUACGGAAA
RNAcentral lists this unclassified non-coding RNA (176 nucleotides) under uncultured fungus. RNAcentral's name for it is "sequence contains ITS1". Lineage: Eukaryota; Fungi. The record is from RNAcentral.